Molecule: transfer RNA, 91 nt
Filed under: Echinostoma caproni
Lineage: Eukaryota; Metazoa; Platyhelminthes; Trematoda; Plagiorchiida; Echinostomatidae
Rfam family: tRNA
About the family: Transfer RNA (tRNA) molecules are approximately 80 nucleotides in length. Their secondary structure includes four short double-helical elements and three loops (D, anti-codon, and T loops).
Source: Rfam by way of RNAcentral
GGCCUCGUAGCUUAGCUGGUAGAGCAUGCUGUACAUGCUGUACACCAGAGUAGGCAGUAUCCAUGCGCGGGUUCGAAUCGCACCGAGGCUA